Molecule: RNA transcript, 4399 nt
Organism: Myxocyprinus asiaticus (Chinese sucker)
Lineage: Eukaryota; Metazoa; Chordata; Actinopteri; Cypriniformes; Catostomidae
Gene name: sorting nexin-17
Exons: 16
Source: RefSeq, a predicted model, not a curated record
CUCAAAACAAACACACAAAACAACUGCUUUUUAGUGGUUUUAACACGCACAAUCAACUCUGUUGGACUGAUGUAGCCUAUUCCUUGUCAUCAUUCACCAAAGGCUAACGUUAAAGUAACGAUCUGUGUUUGCUGGGGUUAGAGAUUAUUUACAACGAACUACAUCGCUUGCAACGUGUUAUAUCACGCCCCAGAAUCUCGAAUUUAACGCCUUUUUCACGCAGUGACUCCCCUCCUCUGCACGAAAUGGUUUGAUCCAGUGGACAGUUGCAAUGCUUCGGGAGAGAGCAGUUACAUAUUGAACACAUUAUAGCGGAGCAGCAGCUUCUUCAACAGUGCCGGAAGGUUUCGCUACAAUGUAGACUAAUGUAUUUUCUUCUAAACGCCCUAACAAGUACGAGCACUGCAUCGGUAUCUCGAAAUGCAUGCUGCGAUAAACAAUUUCUUCAUUUGUUGUCUCUCCAUACUGGUUCGUAUGUACCAAUGUUGGUAGAAACGGGGGCUCUACACAAACCCGGACAACCUUAACAUAAUCGGAAAGUUGAUUGGAUUACGGGCUCGCGACGAUACGUGUUUUGCAGACUUGAGCCCCACAUUCUUUAACAGUGCGCGAGGAAGUGAGGGGACAGAUUGGGCGACACGGACCGAUAAAUUGACGACAAUGAACGUGGAAUUACCUCCAGUUGCAACAUGGCUGCUGCUUAGAUGUUUAUUGGAAAAGUUCAGCCCCGAACAUUAAGAAAGUUUUAUUUUUAAUCUCAUGCGAAUAAAAAGGACCUUUUCUGACAUAAUUCAACUCUGGUUUGGACUGGACUGGAUAGGACUCCGCAGGGAAUCAGCGCGAGAGUAGCUCGCCGUCAUUCGGUUUGGUUCCUGCAUGACAGCAAACCAACACCGAGGACUUUCCGUGAAUAUUCUCGCUAUUUACAACAUUAUCAACUUCGUGGAAGACGUACAGUCGCAGGUUAGAAAAUGCAUUUCUCCAUCCCUGAGACGGAAGUCCGCUCCGAUGAAAACGGAUCUACAUAUGUGGCUUACAAUAUCCAUGUCAAUGGUGUCUUGCAUUGUCGGGUACGAUACAGCCAACUCUUGGGUCUGCAUGAACAGAUAAAGAAAGAAUACGGAACUAAUGUGGUGCCAGCUUUUCCUCCAAAGAAGCUCUUCACUCUCACACCAGCUGAAGUCGAGCAGAGGAGAGAACAACUAGAGAAGUACAUGCAAGCUGUGCGUCAAGACCCCAUUCUGGGAUCCAGUGAGAUUUUCAACAGCUUUUUGAGAAAAGCUCAACAGGAGACCCAGCAGAUCCCCACUGAGGAGGUGCAGCUUGAAAUCUACUUGUCCAAUGGCCAGAUGGUCAAAGUCAACAUCCUCACCUCUGACCAGACAGAAGAUGUUCUUGAGGCUGUGGCCUCAAAGCUUGACCUCCCUGAAGAGCUGGUGGGAUACUUCAGUCUCUUUCUGGUUCAAGAGAGGGGGGAUGGGGGCUGCACAUACGUGAGAAAACUGCAAGAAUUUGAGCUGCCCUACGUGUCCGUCACCAGCCUGCACAGUCCUGAUUUCCACAUCGUCCUCCGCAAAAGCUACUGGGAUACAGCAUAUGACAGUGAUGUCAUGGAUGAUUGUGUGGGACUAAACUUGUUAUAUGCUCAGACGGUGUCUGACAUAGAGCGGGGAUGGGUCCUGGUGAACAAAGAGCAGCACAGACAGCUCAAUUCCCUGCAGGAGAAGGGCUCAAAGAAGGAGUUCAUUAGAUUGGCUCAGACACUGAAAUACUAUGGCUACAUCAAGUUUGAUCCUUGUGUCACAGAUUUCCCAGAAAAGGGCUGUCAUGUUAUAGUCGGUGCUGGCAACAAUGAACUCAACUUUCAUGUCAAACUACCCAGCGAGCAGAUGAAGGAGGGCAGCUUUAAAGUCACACGCAUGAGAUGCUGGCGGGUCACUUCAUCUCAGGUGCCGGUGGCGAAUGGUACCGCAAACCCAAGCAGUUCCAGUAAAUGUGAUGUGAAACUAGAGCUGGCCUUCGAGUACUUGAUGAGCAAAGACCGCCUCCAGUGGGUCACCAUCACCAGUCCUCAGGCAAUUAUGAUGAGUAUCUGUCUCCAGUCUAUGGUAGAUGAGCUGAUGGUGAAGAAAUCUGGUGGAAGUAUUAAAAAACAGAUGCAGAAGAAGCGACUAAACGGCACGCUCCAUCGAUCUGACAGUCAGCAAGCUGUGAAGUCUCCUCCCUUACUGGAUUCCCCCAAUCCCAGCCGUGAACAAGUAGUCAAACUUUCUGGAUCAGGAGAGAAGCGCCUUUUUAAGGCGGGAGGGAUCUGAUGUCCAUCUGAUGCGUGAGAGUGGUCUGCUCUGACUGCGUGAGAGAAAAUACCAAGCUGUCCUCAGUCUCCCUGAGAGGACUCAGUUCUUCCAACUCAGCUAGCGACAUCAGUGGCAAUGAUUUCCAUGGAAACUACGCCUUUGAAGGAAUCGGGGACGAUGACCUGUGAUGGAGCCUCCCUCAUAGACUGGACUCAAGGGGGGAGUGCAGAAUAAUUUAGCAGUUUCUCUGACCUGUAGUUUAAUAUGUAAAAUGUUGUAACCCCUUUCAGCAAAUUUUUGAAAAAUUAUAGCAGAGCUAAAACAAAACAUAUAGUUCUAUUAAGCUCAGUUAAAAUUGCCUUGCCCCAUAAAGUACAUCAUUUUGAUUCAAAACCUCUCAUUAGUCUUAUGUUGAAGUAUGAAACUAAAUAUCUCAGUUGAAGUAAACUAUAAUUUGGACAAUUCCAAGGAUUAAUCCAGGGUUACAAAGCUGUCUCAGAGCAAGUUACUGCAUUCAAGAGAGACAUGAAUUUUAGGCUGUGAUGAAUGAUAGACUCCACUGAAUCAUACUUCCUCACUAGAGACACAAAACUGUGCUUUUCCUUUCAUAUCUCAUCAUCGGGUGGUGUGAAAUUCAAUUCCUGCCACCUCAUUUUCUCUUGCUCGUGACUGCAACUGCCUUCCAGAGAAAGAUUCAUACCAGCAAAUUGUGUUCAUAUUUUCCUUUUAAAAUCGAUCAAGAAUAUUUAAUAGAGAAGUGAUUUGCUUUAUAUUGUGCAGUGUGCCAAUGUUUUUCCAAUUCUCUACCUAUUGCGUGGUAGCUCUCUGCAACUUCCUGUUAUUUUGGGAGAGGUAAUUGGAAUCGUGUUGAUUAGUGGACGUAUUGUGUAUUCAUUGCAGCAUCAGUGAUUAUUCUAGAACACGAGCAGAUUGAAGAUCACUCUUUAUUGUGGCCUGCUUUUUCUCUGCCUUACGCUGAGUCAACCGCCUUACAGUUCAGAAUCAACUUCGCAAAAUGAAAAUAUAAUGUAGCGCCAGGGACAAGUUGGCUGAAAGGUUCUCAUAUUUUGACCUCAGCUAUGUCCUGAAUCUUGCCUGUUUGCUGUGUUCGGCAGGCCCGCUUGCACUAGCUGAACCCAUGUUUUUUUGCACAGUAUUAAGAAAAGUAGAUGGCUCUGGUAUUUAUUGAGAUAUUAACUGUGGGAAAACAUCCUGGACCAUUCUCAAGAGGUUUUUAGGACUGUCAUUUGAUUUUUGUGUUUGUAUCUGUUAUUCGAACAAAUAUAUUCAAAAGGUUUCUCAUAAAUGCCAAAAUGAUCAUUUAAAGCAUAGACUGACUAAAGCAUUUUGCACACAAAAAAACAAGAUCAUGGUUGUCACUUUUAUAAAUGUACAUGCAAUAAUAAUAAUUUAAAAAAAAGUAUUCUAAAUAAUUGCUAAUCUCUGUAUUCUGUUUUAGUAUAUUGUAACAAAGUACUUUUGAUCAAAUAUAUUCCAGGCUAUAUAAGAGAUUAGAAACUAGCAUGUAUCAUUGUUUACAAAAAAUUGUUCAGAAAGAAGUGUUUACAAAUUCCACAUCUAAUUUUCAGUGAUCAUCUUAGCACAAAUUAUACAUUUUAUUUGGAAGAACACCAUUCCAUUUUUUUAUUUUUUUUUUUUUUUUAUAAAUGCAUUGUGGCAAUCAUCUCAGAGGACUAUGAUAAGAUGGUGCUUGGAAAAUGCUGGGGUUUUGACUGCAUUGAUAGUCAAGCUGAAUGAAAAGACCAUAUCAUUCAUUCUGCAGUAGCCUUCAUUCCAGAGACACGAUUCCUCCCAUUCGCAGAAUGUGUUCAAUGCAAAGGUUAUUCUAAUGUUAAUGUGCUGCACAGGGUGUCUGAUUUAUUUUUGAAUUAUUGACUGUAAUUCGUGAUUGCUGGGUUCAGUAUGUUCACCAGCAUAUCUAGAAUAAAAAGGGUAUACCAUUUAUACUCCUAAAACGUAUAUGUCUCUCAUAACGCUUGUCAAUAUGAUUUUAUUUUACAAAUCCUCAAUCAUUUUAAAUGCAAGAAUGGAAGUUAUAGAGCCGUCUGGGUUUCAAUAAAUGUAGGUGCCAAACAAUGCCA